Molecule: non-coding RNA, 1102 nt
Organism: Drosophila melanogaster (fruit fly)
Lineage: Eukaryota; Metazoa; Arthropoda; Insecta; Diptera; Drosophilidae
Source: Ensembl
AUCCUACACUUUACUUUAUAUCAAGGAAUGGCAUAGGACUGUUGACUACGCUAAUCCUCUCCACGCUACCUAUGAAAUCAAAGUUGUCGUUGAAAUCGCCCUGCAAGUCCUGGCAAAUGGUAAACACUUGCGGUAUGAAGUUUUCGCGACUGCUGCUCGACAAGCGCGACAUGGAGGCACUGGUAUAUUAAGUGCGCCGGCAGUCGAGAGGUUUCGAGUCGGCUGGCAGUUGAUAAAGGAGAACCAGGUCACAAUUAGCAUAGCCAAAGCGUUUCGAUAAGGGCCAACCCCUUGCCACCACUUACAGAGGUUCCUCAGCGGGCAGUUGGCACAAUUGCAGCGCGGAGCCGCGAUUUGAACGGUUACUGUGUCUUUGGAGUCACGCGCCAUCGACGGUGAGUUCACCAGAAAGGGCGGAUCGCCCUCCUUGUCCGACUGCGACUCCAAGAAAUCCUUCUCCAGCGGGCACUUGUGCUCGCAACAGAUGCAGGCGUAGGCGGCGGAGGCGGAGGGCACCGAGGAGCUGCUCUCCAGCGCAUCCUUGCUUGUCGUGGGCUGCUCAUCGUCUCUUGGUUCGCUUGGCUCUUGGUACUUGGCUGCUAUAGCGUUCGGCAACGGCACCUGGCUGAGAAACGACUUAAUGUUGUUUUUCGGCAUGGGGCUAUGUCCAAUUGGCGACAGUUGCCAAAGGAACAAGUUCCAUUUUUGAAGUGCCUUCCUCGAAAUUCUUUAUAUGCUUCCCGACUGACUUCGAUUCCGAGCUACAGACGUCCACGGUGACAUCCAAGUACACCAAGAUUUAUAACACACAAUUUUGUGCUCAAUUUCGAAAAAAAACUAAUUCUUGUAAAAACCAUAAAAUUGUAAAAAAUGCUUUGAAAUGUGGGGCGAUGACUAUAGGAUUAACAUACAAAGGGCAAGCGAAAUAUGGCCAUCUAGUGAUAUUCAGUACUGAGUAAAACGAUUGCAAAAAGAACAGACAAACUAUAAAUCGCUUUCGGAAGUUAUUUCGAAAUGCAACGAAAACAAAUCGGAGGGUAUUACUCAUCAGCGUAUGUUCAAAGGCAGCAGAGCAGUGCGAAUCACCUGAGUCACAAAGGUC